CCAAUCAGCUAUCCUGACCUUAACCACUCAAGGUCAAAUGCCUGACCCAACCAAUCGAGCUGCUUCGUAGGGCGGGUCUUGGCGUGGCCAUAGUGGGAUUUACAAUUUUGCAAACUGGGAUGCAAGUAACGCAAAUGAAGAUUCACA
This is a long non-coding RNA of Etheostoma cragini (Arkansas darter), 147 nucleotides long. RefSeq lists it as uncharacterized. The record is from RefSeq and is a predicted model, not a curated record. Lineage: Eukaryota; Metazoa; Chordata; Actinopteri; Perciformes; Percidae. The transcript is spliced from 3 exons.